This is a non-coding RNA of Jatropha curcas, 308 nucleotides long. NCBI's taxonomy places the organism in Eukaryota, Viridiplantae, Streptophyta, Magnoliopsida, Malpighiales, Euphorbiaceae. The record is from RefSeq and is a predicted model, not a curated record.
GAUGUAUUGAAUACCACCUCACCAACUUGGGUUCCCGUGGCACCAAAUGACUUGGCCCUCCAAAUUGACCCAUCUUCAAGUACAAGUCUAGCAUCGGAAGUUUUCCAAGGCCUCUCUGCCAAACCUAAGGCUCAGCAACAAAGUUCCAUCAGGUCGAUCUUAAUUAAGUCCAAUUUUUGUCCUUUUUGGGUGGAAAAUCAACAGAAAUAAGUAAAUUCAAAAAAAAAAAAAAAAAGCUAAGCAUUAGAAAAUACACAUAUUUAUAUUUUUAAAAAAUAAGUUACUAAUGAACAAUGUUCUGCAAAACA